RNAcentral lists this ribosomal RNA (249 nucleotides) under uncultured bacterium. RNAcentral's name for it is "partial 16S ribosomal RNA". It matches the Rfam family "Bacterial small subunit ribosomal RNA", at positions 524 to 776 of the family's 1533-position model. The record is from RNAcentral.
UACGGGGGGGCAAGCGUUGUUCGGAAUUACUGGGCGUAAAGGCUCGUAGGCGGCCAACUAAGUCGGAUGUGAAAUCCCCAAGCUUAACUUGGGAACUGCAUCCGAUACUGGAUGGCUUGAAUCCGGGAGAGGGAUGCAGAAUUCCAGGUGUAGCGGUGAAAUGCGUAGAUAUCAGGAGGAACACCCAGGGGAAACCAGCCGGCUGGGGACGGCUGACGCUCAGGGGCGAAAGCGUGGGGAGCGAACCGG